This 445-nucleotide long non-coding RNA is filed under the name Mus pahari (shrew mouse). RNAcentral's name for it is "lncRNA (MGP_PahariEiJ_G0005361.1)". The record is from RNAcentral. Lineage: Eukaryota; Metazoa; Chordata; Mammalia; Rodentia; Muridae.
GGGCGCUCAGAGGGAGAGCUGCGCGGCCUUCCAGGCAGAAGGAACACCGUGUCCAAACGCACGGAAGCGUGAAAGCCCCCACGAGUGCUUUGACGAUGUGGUGGGUCAGGUCUACCUGAUGAGGCGAACAGGGAAACUCUUGGGGGAGAAAAUCCUGCCUGUCAAUCUCAUAUUCUCAGUUCCCUUUUAUCAGAUGGGGGCUCACUGUGCUGCCUCAUACCCACUGAAGGGCGAGAAACCCAGCAUCUUCAGAACGUCUCUUAACCUGUUAAUUUCGUUAAAGAUUGGGCCUUCGAGAUGGCUCAGUGGGUAAAGACGCUGCCAAGUUGGAUGACCUGAGUUCGAUCUUCUGGACCUUGGAAGGAGAAAAUGGAACCCUGCAGGUUGUCCUCUGAUUUGUACAUGCGUGCACACACGUAAUUUAAAUAAAUAAUUGAUAGCUCUA